RNAcentral lists this ribosomal RNA (492 nucleotides) under uncultured bacterium. Its description in RNAcentral is "partial 16S ribosomal RNA". It matches the Rfam family "Bacterial small subunit ribosomal RNA", at positions 29 to 507 of the family's 1533-position model. The record is from RNAcentral.
AGUGAACGCUGGCGGUAGGCCUAACACAUGCAAGUCGAACGGCAGCACAGUAAGAGCUUGCUCUUACGGGUGGCGAGUGGCGGACGGGUGAGGAAUACAUCGGAAUCUACUUUUUCGUGGGGGAUAACGUAGGGAAACUUACGCUAAUACCGCAUACGACCUACGGGUGAAAGCAGUGGAUCUUCGGACCUUGCGCGAUUGAAUGAGCCGAUGUCGGAUUAGCUAGUUGGCGGGGUAAAGGCCCACCAAGGCGACGAUCCGUAGCUGGUCUGAGAGGAUGAUCAGCCACACUGGAACUGAGACACGGUCCAGACUCCUACGGGAGGCAGCAGUGGGGAAUAUUGGACAAUGGGCGAAAGCCUGAUCCAGCCAGACCGCGUGGGUGAAGAAGGCCUUCGGAUUGUAAAGCCCUUUUGUUGGGAAAGAAAAGAAGCAGGUGAAUACCCCGCUGUUCUGACGGUACCCAAAGAAUAAGCAACGGCUAACUUCGUG